UACGAAGGGGGCGAGCGUUGUUCGGAAUCACUGGGCGUAAAGGGCGCGUAGGCGGCCCUUCUUGUCGCGUGUGAAAGCCCCGGGCUCAACCUGGGAACGGCGCGCGAGACGGGGGGGCUGGAGUUCGGGAGAGGAGCGUGGAAUUCCCAGUGUAGAGGUGAAAUUCGUAGUAUUGGGAAGAACACCGGUGGCGAAGGCGGCGCUCUGG
Molecule: ribosomal RNA, 208 nt
Filed under: uncultured bacterium
Lineage: Bacteria
Description: partial 16S ribosomal RNA
Rfam family: Bacterial small subunit ribosomal RNA
Source: RNAcentral